This 1291-nucleotide ribosomal RNA is filed under the name Weissella confusa. RNAcentral's name for it is "bacterial SSU rRNA". It matches the Rfam family "Bacterial small subunit ribosomal RNA", at positions 154 to 1433 of the family's 1533-position model. The record is from RNAcentral. Lineage: Bacteria; Bacillati; Bacillota; Bacilli; Lactobacillales; Lactobacillaceae.
AAACAGAUGCUAAUACCGUAUAACAAUGACAACCGCAUGGUUGUUAUUUAAAAGAUGGUUCUGCUAUCACUAAGAGAUGGUCCCGCGGUGCAUUAGCUAGUUGGUAAGGUAAUGGCUUACCAAGGCGAUGAUGCAUAGCCGAGUUGAGAGACUGAUCGGCCACAAUGGGACUGAGACACGGCCCAUACUCCUACGGGAGGCAGCAGUAGGGAAUCUUCCACAAUGGGCGAAAGCCUGAUGGAGCAACGCCGCGUGUGUGAUGAAGGGUUUCGGCUCGUAAAACACUGUUGUAAGAGAAGAAUGACAUUGAGAGUAACUGUUCAAUGUGUGACGGUAUCUUACCAGAAAGGAACGGCUAAAUACGUGCCAGCAGCCGCGGUAAUACGUAUGUUCCAAGCGUUAUCCGGAUUUAUUGGGCGUAAAGCGAGCGCAGACGGUUAUUUAAGUCUGAAGUGAAAGCCCUCAGCUCAACUGAGGAAUUGCUUUGGAAACUGGAUGACUUGAGUGCAGUAGAGGAAAGUGGAACUCCAUGUGUAGCGGUGAAAUGCGUAGAUAUAUGGAAGAACACCAGUGGCGAAGGCGGCUUUCUGGACUGUAACUGACGUUGAGGCUCGAAAGUGUGGGUAGCAAACAGGAUUAGAUACCCUGGUAGUCCACACCGUAAACGAUGAGUGCUAGGUGUUUGAGGGUUUCCGCCCUUAAGUGCCGCAGCUAACGCAUUAAGCACUCCGCCUGGGGAGUACGACCGCAAGGUUGAAACUCAAAGGAAUUGACGGGGACCCGCACAAGCGGUGGAGCAUGUGGUUUAAUUCGAAGCAACGCGAAGAACCUUACCAGGUCUUGACAUCCCUUGACAACUCCAGAGAUGGAGCGUUCCCUUCGGGGACAAGGUGACAGGUGGUGCAUGGUUGUCGUCAGCUCGUGUCGUGAGAUGUUGGGUUAAGUCCCGCAACGAGCGCAACCCUUAUUACUAGUUGCCAGCAUUCAGUUGGGCACUCUAGUGAGACUGCCGGUGACAAACCGGAGGAAGGUGGGGAUGACGUCAAAUCAUCAUGCCCCUUAUGACCUGGGCUACACACGUGCUACAAUGGCGUAUACAACGAGUUGCCAACCCGCGAGGGUGAGCUAAUCUCUUAAAGUACGUCUCAGUUCGGAUUGUAGGCUGCAACUCGCCUACAUGAAGUCGGAAUCGCUAGUAAUCGCGGAUCAGCACGCCGCGGUGAAUACGUUCCCGGGUCUUGUACACACCGCCCGUCACACCAUGAGAGUUUGUAACACCCAAAGCCGGUGG